Molecule: ribosomal RNA, 487 nt
Filed under: uncultured bacterium
Lineage: Bacteria
Description: bacterial SSU rRNA
Rfam family: Bacterial small subunit ribosomal RNA
Source: RNAcentral
GACGAACGCUGGCGGCGUGGAUUAGGCAUGCAAGUCGAGCGAUAUCUAACCUUCGGGUUAGUGAAAGCGGCGAACGGGUGAGUAACACGUGAACAACCUGCCCUCACAUUCUGGAUAAUAAGCCGAAAGGCCUUGUAAUACAGGCGAGGAUUCUCCUUAGGCAUCUUUGGAGAAGGGAAGGCGCAAGCCGUGCGAGGAGGGGUUCGCGGAUUAUCAGGUAGAUGGUGGGGUAACGGCCUACCAUGCCGACGACGAUUAGCUGGUCUGAGAGGAUGAUCAGCCACACUGGGACUGAGACACUGCCCAGACUCCUACGGGAGGCUGCAGUCGAGAAUCUUGCACAAUGCACGAAAGUGUGAUGCAGCGACGCCGCGUGAAGGAUGAAGGCCCUUGGGUCGUAAACUUCUUUUAUGCGGGAAGAAAAAUGACGUUACCGCAUGAAUAAGCCACGGCUAACUACGUGCCAGCAGCCGCGGUAAAGCUACGU